This 425-nucleotide ribosomal RNA is filed under the name uncultured bacterium. RNAcentral's name for it is "partial 16S ribosomal RNA". It matches the Rfam family "Bacterial small subunit ribosomal RNA", at positions 354 to 796 of the family's 1533-position model. The record is from RNAcentral.
GUGGGGAAUAUUGGACAAUGGGCGCAAGCCUGAUCCAGCCAUGCCGCGUGAGUGAUGAAGGCCCUAGGGUUGUAAAGCUCUUUCACCGGUGAAGAUAAUGACGGUAACCGGAGAAGAAGCCCCGGCUAACUUCGUGCCAGCAGCCGCGGUAAUACGAAGGGGGCUAGCGUUGUUCGGAAUUACUGGGCGUAAAGCGCACGUAGGCGGACAUUUAAGUCAGGGGUGAAAUCCCAGAGCUCAACUCUGGAACUGCCUUUGAUACUGGGUGUCUUGAGUAUGGAAGAGGUAAGUGGAAUUCCGGGUGUAGAGGUGAAAUUCGUAGAUAUUCGGAAGAACACCAGUGGCGAAGGCGACUCACUGGCCCAAUACUGACGCUGAGGCGCGAAAGCGUGGGGAGCAAACAGGAUUAGAAACCCUGGUAGUCC